CCUACGGGAGACAGCAGUGAGGAAUAUUGGUCAAUGGACGAGAGUCUGAACCAGCCAAGUAGCGUGAAGGAUGACUGCCCUAUGGGUUGUAAACUUCUUUUAUAUGGGAAUAAAAUGUUCCACGUGUGGGAUUUUGUAUGUACCAUAUGAAUAAGGCUCGGCUAACUCCGUGCCAGCAGCCGCGGUAAUACGGAGGAUCCGAGCGUUAUCCGGAUUUAUUGGGUUUAAAGGGAGCGUAGGUGGUUUGUUAAGUCAGUUGUGAAAGUGUGCGGCUCAACCGUAAAAUUGCAGUUGAAACUGGAAGUCUUGAGUGCAGGAGAGGUGAGCGGAAUUCGUGGUGUAGCGGUGAAAUGCUUAGAUAUCACGAAGAACACCGAUUGCGAAGGCAGUUCACUGGACUGCAACUGACACUGAGGCUCGAAAGUGUGGGUAGCAAACAGGAUUAGAUACCCGGGUAGUC
Molecule: ribosomal RNA, 460 nt
Filed under: uncultured bacterium
Lineage: Bacteria
Description: partial 16S ribosomal RNA
Rfam family: Bacterial small subunit ribosomal RNA
Source: RNAcentral